This is a long non-coding RNA of Anoplophora glabripennis (Asian longhorned beetle), 568 nucleotides long. RefSeq lists it as uncharacterized. NCBI's taxonomy places the organism in Eukaryota, Metazoa, Arthropoda, Insecta, Coleoptera, Cerambycidae. The record is from RefSeq and is a predicted model, not a curated record. The transcript has 3 exons.
ACAGUCUAUUAUUGUGAAAUCGAUAUUAGCCGAGUUCAGUGUUUUGUGUCUUUAAACUGUGUUUUUUAUUUAAUUUCAAUAAAAAUUUCAAAGCAGUGUAUAAUAUGCCGACAAUUACAGGAAAAGAGCCAAAUAUGUACUACUUCUUUUCACAAAAUACCAUAAGAUCCUGCGAUACGAGCAGUGUGGCUAGAAAAUUUAGUCAUAUCUGAAUAUGAUUUAUCAAAGGAUAAUUAUGUCUGUUCGAAGCAUUUCCGUGCUACAGAUAUUAAGGUAACAGUAACUGGAAAACGAUGUCUCACACAUGGAGCUGUCCCUAUUAAUACAACAUUUGGAAGCAGUGUUGAUGAAAAGGUUGUGCCGUCUCAAAGGUUCCCCCUUCGAGAAAUUGCCAGUGAAGGGAGCUGUCGAUGCUAUGAGCUCAAAAUUCAGUUUAUUUUUGUUGUGUGCAUUUAAAACGUGCUUGGAACAUGUUUAUUUUCCCAUACAAUUAAAUGUUGUUCAAUGUAAUUUCAUUUUUCCGUUACUUUUAGUACAAAUAUGUUUUGUUUUCUUUGCAUUCUUUAUA